UACAGAGGGUGCAAGCGUUAAUCGGAAUUACUGGGCGUAAAGCGCGCGCAGGCGGCCUUUUAAGUCUGAUGUGAAAGCCCACGGCUCAACCGUGGAAGGUCAUUGGAAACUGAAGGGCUUGAGUACAGAAGAGGAAAGCGGAAUUCCACGUGUAGCGGUGAAAUGCGUAGAGAUGUGGAGGAACACCAGUGGCGAAGGCGGCUUUCUGGUCUGUAACUGACGCUGAGGCGCGAAAGCGUGGGGAGCAAACAGG
This 253-nucleotide ribosomal RNA is filed under the name uncultured bacterium. RNAcentral describes it as "partial 16S ribosomal RNA". It matches the Rfam family "Bacterial small subunit ribosomal RNA", at positions 524 to 776 of the family's 1533-position model. The record is from RNAcentral.